Molecule: long non-coding RNA, 4565 nt
Organism: Mobula hypostoma (lesser devil ray)
Lineage: Eukaryota; Metazoa; Chordata; Chondrichthyes; Myliobatiformes; Myliobatidae
Exons: 3
Source: RefSeq, a predicted model, not a curated record
AUGAUCUUUGACGAUGGACCGAGGAGAAGCAAAAGCUGUUUUUUUUUCAGAUAUAUGAAGAGUGAAAGGGGCAAGAGCUGGUAUUGGACCACUGGAAAACGACACUGGAGCGGUAGACUGGGGGACAACGAGAUGGCAAAAUAACACCAGUGGAAUGCCAGAAAUUUAAGUAUCAGGAGCAGAAGUUAUAUGAAUGGGAGUAGCUGAGAACUGGAAAUUCAAUCUGACUGCACAUCGAGAUCUGGUAGCGCAAUUCAGCAGGACAUGAAUAUCACUGACAGUUGUGUGUGAGAAGAGAUGUUUCCCAUUUGUGAGUGUCAGAGUUUGAAAAGAGCUUUAACACAGCCUGGGGAAGUCCACCUUCCACAGCAGAUAUAAACUGCAUUUUGUGUGAUCAAAACAACAACUGAGCAUCCAACCUGGAGCGUCACAAGGGUACCCGCUCCACGAGGAAACCGUGGAAGUGUGAUGACUGUGGAAAGGGGUUCAGUUCUCCAUCCCAGCUUGAAACUCAUAAGCGUAGUCACACUGGAGAGAAGCCAUUCACCUGCUUACUAUGUGGAAAGGGGUUCACUUUAUCCUCCAGUCUCCAAUUACACCAGAGAGUACACACAAAUGAGAGGCCCUUUAAAUGUUCUGACUGUGGAAACUGCUUUAAAAUCUCUGCAGAUUUGAUUAAACAUCAGCUUGUUCACACUGAUGAGAGACCUUUCAGUUGUUCUCACUGUGAGAAGAGGUUUAGGCAGUCGUCUCACCUUAUUCAACACCAGCGAGUGCAUACAGGAGAGAGGCCACUGACAUGCUCUGUUUGUGGGAAGGGGUUUAGUUCUGCAUCCAAUCUUCGGACGCACCAGCGAAUUCACACUGGAGAAAAAAUGUUCUCCUGCUCCAUAUGUGAAAAGGGAUUCACCCAAUCAUCCAACCUGCUGAGGCACCAGCAAGUUCACACUAAAGAAAGGCCAUUCAUGUGUUCUGUGUGUGGGAAGGGAUUCACUCGGUCAUCACACCUCCUGAGACAUCAGCAAGUUCAUGUAAUUGCAGAGGUUUGAUUCUGCUAUGGAGAACACCUCCAUUUAUUUCUCGUUGUUGGUAACCCCAUGUAACUGAAUUUUACUGCCCUUUUUAUCUGUCUGAUAAAUUAACUGAGGUGUAUAGACAUUGCUUAAUUUACCAAGCUAAGAGAAAAUAAUUGAUAUCCACUGCUGGCUGCUGCAUUUUAAGGCUUCUCUAGAUCAUUUUGGUUCUUCAACAUUUGUUUACUCCUCCAACUCUCCUGGUUGCCCAUUUUGAUCUUGAUAACCAAGUAAGUGAGUAUUAAUUCUCCUUUGGGAGCUAUACAAAACUCACUGUUAUUCACUUUCAGUUAUCAAACACGUUAAGCAGUCCAUGCCAUUUCUCAUGUUUAAUAGGGUAAAAUGUCAUCAGUGCUAAAAAUAUGAAAAAUUCUGCUCGGAAAAUACACAGAUCAGGUAGCGUCUGUGAGAAGACAAAUAGGCUUAACAUUUCAGAGUGAGAUCUCUUCAUCAGCAUUCAUUAGCAUUCACCAUUAAUUGUGCAUAUCCUACCCCUAUUGUACUACCCAUAAUGGACCACGUGUCAGAAUUAAGUUCCAUUUGUCAUCUCUGGCCAGCUGUCUAGCUAAUCUAAAUCCUGUAGCCUUAGACAAUCUUCUGAACUAUCCAUAAUACCUCCAAUUUCCAGGUCAUUUGCAAACAUAAUAAUUGUACCUCCUACAUUCACCUCCAAUUUGAAAAACUAUGUCACAAAGCAAAGAUCCAAACACCAAACCCUCUGGUACGUGACCAGUCACAGAGUAGCUUAUUGGGGGAAAAACUCCGUUUGUCAAUACCCACUGUCACCAAGAUAAUUUUGGAUCUUAGAUGCAAGGGAAACAUGCUGGAAAUAUCAAGCAACAUACAUAAAUUUCUGGAGGAAUUCAGCGGGUCAGUCAGCAUCUAUGGAGGGAAAUAAUCAGGUGACACUUUGGGCUGAGACCCUUGCUUAAAAGGGGGUAGAAGCAGGAAUAAGGAGAUUGGGGGGAGGUUGAUAGUGUUUGGAUCUAAUUAGCCAACUCAUCUUGCAUCCCAAGAGUUCCUUAUGUAUUAGGUAACUAUGUAAGUGAUACUUAAAUCUCCUAAAAGUACUGUAUAAAAUUCAGACAGUAAACCACUUUAUUCUGACCAACCUACCAUGUGGGAUCUUGUCAAAUCCUCCAAGGUCAUUGGAAAUUUUUUAAUCUUGAGGCUUUUUUCUUGCCAUGCCUCAGGAUUUUCUUUGGUUUAUACAUUGCGCUUGUAUUCUGUCCUUUUAAUUAAUCACCUGAAUUAUCUCAGUAAAUAAGUUGAACCACCCACGCUUUCUGCCAUGACAGUCUUUUCCUCUUCAGUCCUGACGCAGGGUCUCAAUCCAGAACAUUAAUGUUCACUUUUUGCCUCCACUGGUACUAUUUGGCCCUGUGAAUCCCUCCAGAAUUCUGUUUUUAUUUUGCUUCAGAUUCCAGCAUCUGUUGUCACUUUACAGCUUUGUCUUUUUUCUCUCUAAUGUCAGAUUAGUUUCUCAGAGUGGUCUUUCUCAUAGCAUUUGGUGUAUAUUUCAGCAGUAAUUUUUGGCUCAAUAUUUCUCCCAUAGGAAUUGUAUAAAAUUUUGUAAAAAUUGUUCUGGAUCAGCCAUCUUUGCCAUCACCCUGUCUUCUGUUAAAUGAAGAACAGUGUCAGGAGUAGACCAUGGGUCCCUUUGAGCCUGCACCACCAUUCAUGAGGGUUGUUAAGACUAUCUCCCAAUGCAAUUUUAAAGUUUCCUUCGUAGUUCAGUUUGUGUAAGUAUAAUUUUACUGCACUAAGGAGUGUUGCUACUCAGAUAUGUUUUAUGUAUUCUCUAGUUAUAUAAAUGCAGUGUAAUUCUAACCAGCCUGAAUGAAUAGUAUACAUUUUCUGUAUGAACUCAGUUUAUAUCAUAAGAGCUUGAGAUGGUUGUUGAGCACUUUCUAAAGUCAGCAUUCUGUCAGUUAUGAUUUGAGUAAGUUUUGGAGUACAUAAUCAGUGGAGGUGUUUUCCCAAGAUCAAUCAGAAGAUGGUGGAAACAAUCAUGUCCAAACUCCUUAAGUACAUUUGUUACAAAGAGGAAUUGAUUUAUACAUAAAGGAAAAUGGAGCAACUGUGUAAUGGUCAAGGAGCCGAGAAAUCCCUUUACCUCUUUGCUGUUUUCACAGAGGCACAGUCAAGGAUUCCCUGGAAUAAGGUAAGUUAAACAAGUUAUUACAUCGCUGACCACAGAGCAUUAUCUACUUAGUGCAAUCAUACGUUUGCACCAUUUUCUCAAUAAAUUGCUACAUCUGAGGGUUUCUGGAAUACAUACUUGGCCAAUGUCCAGAGUGCAUGACUCAUAAAUUUCAUUUUUACAAUUUAUCGGUUACGGUGAGAAGGUAGGUGAAUCUAGUUGCGAGGGAGAUAAAUCAGCUAAGAUGGAAUGGUGGCACAUCCUCAAUGGGCCGAAAGGCGUAAUUCUGUUCCUAUUAUUGCAAUAGUCCUUAUCACUAAAAGGUACUUUAAAAAUGCCUAUGGUCCGUCAGUGUGGGAGGUCCUGAUUAGACAAACAAUUAUUUUCUUUCACUCAGAAGGCAAAGAGGUGAUUGGAAGAGAAGCUUAGGGUGGGGAGAGGCCUUCAAUUUUAACCUGAUGCUAUUUGUUACAGUUAUCUAUUGCAGACAUUUUUCUCAAGCUCGGGCAGACAUAUAUGUGAACUGCAGUGAAGUAUAGUGUUAUGGAAAGCAAACAAGAGGAUAUGACCUCCUCUUAAGCAGAUCUGGUUCAAAGUCUUAAGCCCAGAAACAUGAUACAGAGCAUGUGCAGGAAAGAAGAUAUUCCAGUACAGUAAAGCUAUCUGUGUGUUUACUCUCAUACCCUGAGAGAUCAGUUUAAGACGAUAUUGUAACCACUCAAAGUGACUCACCUGAAGUCACUGAAUAAAAUGCUAAUCAAAAAGCAAUAAGCAAUGUUGGAAGUCUGAAAUACAAUCAGUAAAUUUUGAACUACUUGGCAAAUACGACUGUAACAGCGGGAAGCAAAUUAGUGAACUUUCCAAUUCAAUGAUGCUUUGCAUGAAAGAUUGACUCAGUUUCUUUCUUUGAAUUGAUUGCUAAUGAUAUUUUCAGAAAGUCUUAAAUAAAAUUCAAUGUAAAAGCAUAGUGUGUAAAUUAAAGCUCAUAGGAUUGGAUUAUGCUGCAAUGGAUUGAAAAUGACUCGUAGGAAAGAGAAAGUAGUAAUAAGCAUAGCUUCUUUAGGGUGAGUGUGAUUAGUGCUUUGGUCCCAGCUAUUCCAACAGAUGUCAAUAAUUUCUUCAAAGUAUGGCAUUCAUCACCGAUCAGUGCUGAGGCUAUUGCUUUCUUGGAGUGUUUAAGUCAUAAUUUAAAAGUGUUAAUUAUGUAUUUAAUAUUUGAGUGAUAUUGUAAAUAUUGUUUAAGUAUUCUUGUUUACAUAAUUCAUUUCAGAUCAUAUCUAAAAGUCUUGUCAUUAUGCUCCUAUAUCAUAUGUACGUGCCUGACUAAAGUUAAAAAAAAAUAUGAACUC